This 469-nucleotide ribosomal RNA is filed under the name uncultured bacterium. Its description in RNAcentral is "bacterial SSU rRNA". It matches the Rfam family "Bacterial small subunit ribosomal RNA", at positions 328 to 793 of the family's 1533-position model. The record is from RNAcentral.
CGCUAUCACUCCUACGGGGAGGCACAGUGGGGAAUAUUCACAAUGGACGCAAGCUGAUGCAGCAUGCCGCGUGUAUGAAGAAGGCCUUCGGGUUGUAAAGUACUUUCAGCAGUGAGGAAGGUGGAUAUGUUAAUAGCAUAUUCAUUGACGUUAGCUGCAGAAGAAGCACCGGCUAACUCCGUGCCAGCAGCCGCGGUAAUACGGAGGGUGCGAGCGUUAAUCGGAAUUACUGGGCGUAAAGCGCAUGCAGGUGGUUUGUUAAGUCAGAUGUGAAAGCCCGGGGCUCAACCUCGGAAUUGCAUUUGAAACUGGCAAACUAGAGUACUGUAGAGGGGGGUAGAAUUUCAGGUGUAGCGGUGAAAUGCGUAGAGAUCUGAAGGAAUACCGGUGGCGAAGGCGGCCCCCUGGACAGAUACUGACACUCAGAUGCGAAAGCGUGGGGAGCAAACAGGAUUAGAUACCCUGGUAG